AAUGGGGGCAACCCUGACCGAGCCAUGCCGCGUGAACGAUGAAGGCCUUAGGGUUGUAAAGUUCUUUCGCCAGAGAUGACAAUGACAGUAUCUGGUAAAGAAACCCCGGCUAACUCCGUGCCAGCAGCCGCGGUAAUACGGAGGGGGUUAGCGUUGUUCGGAAUUACUGGGCGUAAAGCGCACGUAGGCGGAUUGGAAAGUUAGAGGUGAAAUCCCAGGGCUCAACCCUGGAACUGCCUUUAAAACUCCCAGUCUUGAGUUCGAGAGAGGUGAGUGGAAUUCCGAGUGUAGAGGUGAAAUUCGUAGAUAUUCGGAGGAACACCAGUGGCGAAGGCGGCUCACUGGCUCGAUACUGACGCUGAGGUGCGAAAGCGUGGGGAGCAAACAGGAUU
This 392-nucleotide ribosomal RNA is filed under the name uncultured Gammaproteobacteria bacterium. Its description in RNAcentral is "bacterial SSU rRNA". It matches the Rfam family "Bacterial small subunit ribosomal RNA", at positions 370 to 779 of the family's 1533-position model. Lineage: Bacteria; Pseudomonadati; Pseudomonadota; Gammaproteobacteria. The record is from RNAcentral.